GCCACUUUUCAAUACGUUUCAUGAGAAUGUCUCGCGUUUCUUAUUAUCUUCGAAUUAGUUUUGUUACAGAAUAGAUAGAUACAGGGUUCGUAAUGUCGUAGCUAAUUUUAGGCUGUAUAACAAUGAACCGGUCGUAAAAGAGCGAACAAGCAGUCAGCUAUUUUAAGUAUCGAGGUAUUUAUGUCGAACUUACAUAGGUCGAUUAUUGGAAAGUUUAACAUCUGUAAAUUCGUACUAUCAACUAGUGCAAUGUCCUAUGUCAGGAGAUUCGGACAGUCAUUAGUCAGACGACGGAAUUCUAACACGAGAACAAGUACUUUCUGCGUACUUUAUGCAAGUUGAAUUUGAAAAAUGAAAUUCCAUCACAGAAGUUAGAUUUUACUGUUAUUAAACAACAGAAGAAUAUUUCUAAAGAAAUUGUAAAUAAGAUUUUUCAUCGCUAAAGCGAUAUUUAAACUUCAUUGUUAAAAAUUGUAUUCCACCGAUAUUAUUGUAAUUCAAGAAUUAGAGAAAAAUGUUGAGAAAAUCUUUCAACGAUAUUGUACAAUUUUAAAUGAGAAUACCAGCAGGAAGCGAAUUUAGCGAUCGUAAUGGCGUGGUCAGAAAUUAUGUUCACAUUGAAAACUUGCCAAAGAACGAAUUUUCUAAGUGUGGCGGUUUCGCGUGAUCAGAUGAAGGGUAGGCGAGAAUGUAACAGAGGAAAAGGAAACUUUCGCACAUCGGCCUUCAAUGUUGAAACUUUAACUAUCAACCGAAGACAGCCAGCUCGACACGUUGCGGUGAAACGCUAGAAACCAUUUAACCCAGAAAAUAUCAAACGUCUGGACGUAUCAAAAGUUUCCUCUAACGCUGCUCGAGUUGAGGUUCGGAGAAGCUCUUUAGAAAUCAAUAACGUUAGCUCGAUGGAGAUACCAAACUUUGUCGAUUUUCGACGAAUAAUUAAUUGAGAAAUCUCAUUUAGCUUGAAAUUUCUAUCGUUGAUAUAUAUAUAUAUAUAUUUUGGUAGAGUAUUUGUUUAGCCCCUUUAAUUUUUAUAACGAAUUCUCAGUGAAAUUUGUAAAAAAAAAAAAAUAGUGGAGAAUAUGAUGUACUAUAUAGAAACCUGUAUAGAUACGUACGAACGUACUAAGUAGAUUCAGAGUGCAAUUGGUCGGACAAACGAAAUCUGGUACUAAAAUAAACCAUUUUACGUAAAAUGAUUACAAAUACGAAGCAAGUGAUAAACACGAAGUAAAUUGGAGUUUGCUUAUAAAUAUUGGACCUAUCUAUGAAACAAAUCGAACAAAUAGAUAAACGUGUUUAAUUCUCUUCUUUCAAGACCAUGCUCUCCGAUAUUAAAAAAAAAAAAAAAAAA
This is a long non-coding RNA of Bombus impatiens (common eastern bumble bee), 1354 nucleotides long. RefSeq lists it as uncharacterized. The record is from RefSeq and is a predicted model, not a curated record. Lineage: Eukaryota; Metazoa; Arthropoda; Insecta; Hymenoptera; Apidae. The transcript has 2 exons.